AUGGCGUUCGCCAGAUGGGUCCCCGGGCCCUCACGGCCCGUUCUCUUCUUCCUCCUCAAGACGCUACCGCUGCUCGUGCUCCUCACCUUCUCCUCCGCCGCGCCCCCGGCGGCGUCGUCUCCCGCGGCUGUGCACAACAACAACUGGGCCGUGCUCGUCUGCACAUCCCGCUUCUGGUUUAAUUAUAGACAUAUGGCCAACACGCUGUCUUUGUACAGGACUGUUAAGAGAUUAGGAAUACCUGAUGAGCGGAUAAUACUUAUGUUGGCGGAUGAUAUGGCUUGUAAUCCUCGGAACAAUUAUCCUGCCCAAGUGUUCAACAAUGAGAACCACCAGCUUAAUCUUUAUGGUGACAAUGUUGAGGUUGAUUACCGAGGUUACGAGGUUACAGUUGAAAACUUUUUGCGAGUUUUGACUGGAAGACAUGAGAGUGCUGUACCAAGAUCAAAGCGUCUCUUAAGUGAUGAAGGAAGCCAUAUUCUUUUGUACAUGACUGGGCAUGGUGGGGAUGAAUUUCUGAAGUUCCAAGAUAAUGAAGAACUUCAGAGCCAUGAUUUAGCAGAUGCAGUAAAGCAAAUGAAGGAGAAACAUAGAUUUAAAGAGUUGUUGAUUAUGGUAGAUACCUGCCAGGCUGCUACUCUGUUUUCACAGCUUCAAUCACCUGGCGUUUUGGCGAUUGGCAGCAGCAUGAAAGGGGAAAAUUCUUACUCUCACCAUCUUGACUCAGACAUUGGUGUUUCUGUUGUGGAUAGGUUUACCUUCCAUACACUUGCUUUCUUUGAGAAGCUGAACAUGUAUAGCAAUGCUUCAUUGAACAGUCUUUUCAAUUCAUAUGAUCCUUCCAUGCUGCUGUCUACUGCAUAUUAUCGAAUGGAUCUUUACAAGCGUGCCUUAAACGAGGUCCCAGUGACAAAUUUCUUUGGAUCAGUCAUGAAGACUAUCCAUACUGAUUCAGCCUACACAGGCUUCUUAGCUGCACAUAAUGCAGAAACCCCCCUUCCUAUCGGAAAUGAUAUAGUUGACGAUGUCAUGCUACAGAAUGAGGCUAGUGCAAGAAGAUCAAACAUAGAAGAGACGAAAGAAGCACAAUUAAGGUCGCAUGGAUGGACAGAGGCCCUGCUAGAACAGCUGGAAGGCAAGAAUUCUGAUGUUGUUGUGAUGUAUGGCCUGGGAACUAUGGGCAUACUGUUGGCAAUUUCAACCUGGCUAUCAAUGUAG
RNAcentral lists this ribosomal RNA (1218 nucleotides) under Triticum aestivum (bread wheat). RNAcentral describes it as "partial small subunit ribosomal RNA". Lineage: Eukaryota; Viridiplantae; Streptophyta; Magnoliopsida; Poales; Poaceae. The record is from RNAcentral.